UACAGAGGUCUCAAGCGUUGUUCGGAUUCAUUGGGCGUAAAGGGUGCGUAGGUGGCCAGGUAAGUCGGAUGUGAAAUCCCGGGGCUCAACCCCGGAACUGCACUCGAUACUGCUUGGCUGGAGUACUGGAGAGGAGAUUGGAAUUUACGGUGUAGCAGUGAAAUGCGUAGAUAUCGUAAGGAAGACCAGUGGCGAAGGCGGAUCUCUGGACAGUUACUGACACUGAGGCACGAAGGCCAGGGGAGCAAACGGG
Molecule: ribosomal RNA, 253 nt
Filed under: uncultured bacterium
Lineage: Bacteria
Description: partial 16S ribosomal RNA
Rfam family: Bacterial small subunit ribosomal RNA
Source: RNAcentral